AACGAACGCUGGCGGCAUGCCUAACACAUGCAAGUCGAACGAGACCUUCGGGUCUAGUGGCGCACGGGUGCGUAACGCGUGGGAACCUGCCCUUAGGCUCGGAAUAACUCCCCGAAAGGGGUGCUAAUACCGGAUAAUGUCUUCGGACCAAAGAUUUAUCGCCUUUGGAUGGGCCCGCGUUGGAUUAGCUAGUUGGUAGGGUAAAAGCCUACCAAGGCGACGAUCCAUAGCUGGUCUGAGAGGAUGAUCAGCCACACUGGGACUGAGACACGGCCCAGACUCCUACGGAAGGCAGCAGUGGGGAAUAUUGGACGAUGGGCGAAAGUCUGAUCCAGCAAUGCCGCGUGAGUGAUGAAGGCCUUAGGGUUGUAAAGCUCUUUUACCCGGGAUGAUAAUGACAGUACCGGGAGAAUAAGCUCCGGCUAACUCCGUG
This 433-nucleotide ribosomal RNA is filed under the name uncultured bacterium. RNAcentral's name for it is "partial 16S ribosomal RNA". It matches the Rfam family "Bacterial small subunit ribosomal RNA", at positions 29 to 507 of the family's 1533-position model. The record is from RNAcentral.